CCUAGCGGCGGACGGGUGAGUAAUGCGUAGGAAGCUACCCGAUAGAGGGGGAUACCAGUUGGAAACGACUGUUAAUACCGCAUAAUGUCUACGGACCAAAGUGUGGGACCUUCGGGCCACAUGCUAUCGGAUGCGCCUACGUGGGAUUAGCUAGUUGGUGGGGUAAUGGCUCACCAAGGCGACGAUCCCUAGCUGGUUUGAGAGGAUGAUCAGCCACACUGGAACUGAGACACGGUCCAGACUCCUACGGGAGGCAGCAGUGGGGAAUAUUGGACAAUGGGCGCAAGCCUGAUCCAGCCAUGCCGCGUGUGUGAAGAAGGCCUUCGGGUUGUAAAGCACUUUCAGCGAGGAGGAAGAGGUGAGUGUUAAUAGUACUCAUCUUUGACGUUACUCGCAGAAGAAGCACCGGCUAACUCUGUGCCAGCAGCCGCGGUAAUACAGAGGGUGCAAGCGUUAAUCGGAAUUACUGGGCGUAAAGCGCACGUAGGCGGUUUUUUAAGUCAGAUGUGAAAGCCCCGGGCUCAACCUGGGAAUUGCAUUUGAAACUGGAAAACUAGAGUGUGUGAGAGGGGGGUAGAAUUCCAAGUGUAGCGGUGAAAUGCGUAGAGAUUUGGAGGAAUACCAGUGGCGAAGGCGGCCCCCUGNCACAACACUGACGCUCAGGUGCGAAAGCGUGGGGGAGCAAACAGGAUUAGAUACCCNNNNAGUCCACGCCGUAAACGAUGUCUACUAGCUGUUCGUGACCUUGUGUCGUGAGUAGCGCAGCUAACGCAUUAAGUAGACCGCCUGGGGGANNACGGUCGCAAGAUUAAAACUCAAAUGAAUUGACGGGGGGCCCGCACAANCGNUGG
RNAcentral lists this ribosomal RNA (851 nucleotides) under uncultured bacterium. RNAcentral's name for it is "bacterial SSU rRNA". It matches the Rfam family "Bacterial small subunit ribosomal RNA", at positions 91 to 935 of the family's 1533-position model. The record is from RNAcentral.